GACACAACCAGGAACAAUACCUUGCAUCCUUCAAUCCAGUCAAGUUGACACUCAAUCUUAACCAUCACAACUCUGUUUUCAAGUUGACUUAUAACUUGACAUCCACCACCACCACCAUUUUUUUUACAGAAAAAAUAUGAAGUAGUAUGGAAUUAUGAUAUAUACACAUUAAAAAGAUAAAAAUUUUAAAAAACAGAGAUCAGAAACCACAUGGAAGACUUAGGAGAGUAGCAACAAUUAAAAUUAAAAAUUUGAGCUUAUGGAAGUUCAAAGAAGAAAAUUCAACUCCCAACCAUUGGAGAUGUUGAUUUAGUACAUCUGGAGUGGAACCGGGUAAUAUAUUCUUUUUUUAAGCCUGUUAUCUAAUUCUGGUUAGAGAUCGACUGUCUCAGACUGUCUCUCCCAGCCCUUGGUCAUCUCCUCCAUGAUUUUGUCAGGGGCUAAACGUUACCCAAUUUAAGGUAAGCUUAAGGGUAUUCCUGUUACAGAUAGAAGAAAAAAGUUCAUGGGCAGCAGUUCCCAGAAGGUGGGUAUGAAAUGCCUAGCUCCCUUCCUAAUGGAGAAAAGCAAAUCUCACCAUUCAUUAUUCACAGGGACUGCUUUGUAGUUCCAUAAAGCAAAGUUGUUUUAUCCUGCCUAACUUGGGAGGCAUUCUCUUUGGUUCACUCUAAUGGAAAAUGGAAGAGAAAAUGGUUUAUCGACUAUUCUUGCUGAGAGAAGCCUCUAAGUGACCCAAAACAAAAAUCAACUAACCAAUCCCAAGGCUUCCUACACAUUGACUGGAAAUCUACCCCCACAAGUUGACGUGGGAGGGAAACACCCAAGUUUCCAGAAAAUCCCAUUUAUCCAUAAGACCCUUCUCCUGGUUAUUUCAGCCUCCCUAGGGAUAGACACUAAGGUGUUACAGCUCUGGUCCAUUGCACAAAGAGUUUUCCAGGGCCUGGAAGAUGUUCAUGGUGGCAUCAACUGGCCACCUCAGUCAUAAAUGGUCCUGGAAAUCCGACUUGGAUCAGUACUGCCUUCUGAUCAAAACUCAGAUGAUCAGAUAUCCAAGGUCCCUAAUAACUACUGGAUUCUCAGAUUCCAGUGUGUGAGCAUGAGACGAUGAAGGCAAAUGGGUAGAACCUGGCACACACACAUCCCAAGCACUGUCACGAAAGGAGGAUUCACACAUACCAACAUAAAGUCUCAGACUAAAGCCAAGAAAUAGCACCUGAUGUUCUUUUCAACUAAGACCCCUGCUUAAUUCCAAACAUAUUCUUCAGGCUGGAUGUCGGGCAGCUGAAGGGUGAUCAGUCUUCUGCUGGAAUUAAAGCCUGCUGUGAUGUUAAUGAAGAACCACCAGUGGGUUUGCUGGAAGGGGGAAAUUUGGAGACAGACACAUACAUGGGAAGAUGCCGUGUGAAGUCUUGAGUUCUGCUGCCACAAGCCUAGGAACCAUUAGAAGCCAGGAGAGAGGCCUAGAACAGCUCCUUCCCCAGCACCUUCCGAGGGAGCAAGGCUCUACCAACAUACUGAUUUUGAACUUCUCGCCUCCAGAACUGCGAGACAAUAUAUUUCUGUUGUUUUAAGUCA
Macaca mulatta (Rhesus monkey) is the source of this 1575-nucleotide non-coding RNA. NCBI's taxonomy places the organism in Eukaryota, Metazoa, Chordata, Mammalia, Primates, Cercopithecidae. The record is from RefSeq and is a predicted model, not a curated record.